GGACUGGCCCAUCCCCAAGAAUGAAAAAGAUAUACAGAGAUUUGUGGGGUUUGCCAAUUUUUACAGGCGUUUCAUUAAGAAUUUCUCUGCCAUUAUUACACCGAUCACUGAACUUACACGUAAAGGGACUCCCUUUCAGUGGUCCAAUAAGGCUGACACUGCAUUUUCCAGAUUAAAGACUCUGUUUACAUCUGCCCCUAUCUUGAUACAUCCUCAGCCAGAAUUGCCAUUUACUGUAGAGGUAGAUGCUUCUGAUUCAGCUGUUGGGGCUAUACUGUCUCAAAGGACUGGACCUAAGAUGUUGUUACAUCCAUGUGCCUUCUAUUCCCGCCAAAUGUUACCAGCAGAAAGAAAUUAUGACAUAGGGAAUAAAGAACUUUUGGCUAUAAAAGCUGCCUUCACCGAAUGGAGACAUCUCUUGGAGGGAGCCACCCAUCCAAUUACUGUCCUCACAGAUCACAAAAAUCUGGAAUGUAUCCAAUCCGC
Non-coding RNA from Pelobates cultripes (western spadefoot toad), 486 nucleotides. The record is from the annotation of a GenBank genome assembly. NCBI's taxonomy places the organism in Eukaryota, Metazoa, Chordata, Amphibia, Anura, Pelobatidae.